AUUCGAUUACAAGUACCGUGAGGGAAAGUUGAAAAGUACUUUGAAAAGAGAGUGCAAGAGAACGUGAAACCGAAAUAAUGGAAACGAAUGAACCCGACGUAUCUAUUGGGUAUUCAGCUUUCCGCUGUUGCAAUUGGGUCGUAGUGUUGUUGCAAAAUGCGCUGCGUUCUAGUGUUGUAGCUGCGGUUAGUGCACUUGCCCAAGGAGUGCGCCGAGUUGUGUGGCUUUGUCGAAUGAAGCGCGUUUAGAGGAUCGGCCUCGGUCGGAACCCUGUGCGCGUCGAGUUCGGUUGGGGCUGCGCAGCUUUGUGGAGACGUGGGAUUUUCGCGUUUAGCGGUGCUGGUUGGUCAGGUUUGCAUUCUGCACAUGUGUAUCGUGCUUAUGUGGCUGGCGAGUGCUGUUGAGUGCUCUGCGUUCUUCUCGGUGUAUAGUCGGUGACGCAUUCGACCCGUCUUGAAACACGGACCAAGGAGUUUACGGUAUGCGCAAGUUAUUGAGUUUGACGAAGCUCAAAAGCACAAUGAAAGUAAGACAUUGUUGUAUUUAACGUGAUUGGGUGCGGCAUUCGUGCGGCUCAAGCAACGUUGCCCCGUUUCUGGGACUCAACCUCCUGUUGCGGCGGUUGAGCGUAUGCUGUGAGACCCGAAAGAUGGUGAACUAUGCCUGAACAGGACGAAGCCAGAGGAAACUCUGGUGGAAGUCCGAAGCGGUUCUGACGUGCAAAUCGAUCGUCUGAUUUUGGUAUAGGGGCGCAAGACUAAUCGAACCAUCUAGUAGCUGGUUCCUUCCGAA
RNAcentral lists this ribosomal RNA (792 nucleotides) under Bursaphelenchus fagi. RNAcentral's name for it is "eukaryotic LSU rRNA". It matches the Rfam family "Eukaryotic large subunit ribosomal RNA", at positions 336 to 965 of the family's 3401-position model. The record is from RNAcentral. Lineage: Eukaryota; Metazoa; Nematoda; Chromadorea; Rhabditida; Aphelenchoididae.